ACGUAUUAAAAAAAAACUACUUACUAGAUCUCGUUCAAACCAAUUUUCGGUGGAAGUUUACAUGGUAAUGUACAUCAUAUAUUUUUUUUAGUUUUAUCAUUCUCUUAUUUUAGAAGUUACAGGGGGGGGGGACACAUUUUACCAGUUUGGAAGUGUCUCUCGCGCAAACUAUUCAGUUUAGAAAAAAAAUAUAUUAGAAACCUCAAUAUCAUUUUUGAAGACCUAUCCAUAGAUACCCCACACGUAUGGGUUUGAUGAAAAAAAAAUUUUGAGUUUCAGCGAUUUAUGACGUAUAAAAAAAACUACUUACUAGAUCUCGUUCAAACCAAUUUUCGGUGGAAGUUUACAUGGCAAUGUACAUCAUAUAUUUUUUUUAGUUUUAUCAUUCUCUUAUUUUAGAAGUUACAGGGGGGGGGACACACAUUUUACCACUUUGGAAGUACCUAUCCAUAGAUACCACACACGUAUGGGUUGGAUGAAAAAAAAAUUUUUGAGUUUCAGUUCGAAGUAUGGGGAACCCCAAAAAUUUAUUGUUUUUUUUCUAUUUUUGUGUGAAAAUCUUAAUGCGGUUCACAGAAUACAUCUACUUACCAAGUUUCAACAGUAUAGUUCUUAUAGUUUCGGAGAAAAGUGGCUGUGA
Cydia amplana is the source of this 640-nucleotide long non-coding RNA. RefSeq lists it as uncharacterized. The transcript is spliced from 3 exons. The record is from RefSeq and is a predicted model, not a curated record. Lineage: Eukaryota; Metazoa; Arthropoda; Insecta; Lepidoptera; Tortricidae.